AGUUUGAUCCUGGCUCAGGAUGAACGCUAGCUACAGGCUUAACACAUGCAAGUCGAGGGGCAGCGAGAAGUUAGCUUGCUAACUUUGUCGGCGACCGGCGCACGGGUGAGUAACGCGUAUCCAACCUUCCCCUUAGUAGAGGAUAGCCCGGCGAAAGUCGGAUUAAUGCUCUAUGUUCUUCUUUGACGGCAUCUGAGGAGAAGCAAAGGUUUACCGCUAAGGGAUGGGGAUGCGUCUGAUUAGCUUGUCGGCGGGGUAACGGCCCACCGAGGCGACGAUCAGUAGGGGUUCUGAGAGGAAGGUCCCCCACAUUGGUACUGAGACACGGACCAAACUCCUACGGGAGGCAGCAGUGAGGAAUAUUGGUCAAUGGGCGGGAGCCUGAACCAGCCAAGUAGCGUGCAGGAAGACUGCCCUAUGGGUUGUAAACUGCUUUUAUAGGGGAAUAAAGUGAGGCACGCGUGCCUUUUUGCAUGUACCCUAUGAAUAAGGACCGGCUAAUUCCGUGCC
Molecule: ribosomal RNA, 510 nt
Filed under: uncultured organism
Description: SSU rRNA
Rfam family: Bacterial small subunit ribosomal RNA
Source: RNAcentral